RNAcentral lists this ribosomal RNA (459 nucleotides) under uncultured bacterium. RNAcentral's name for it is "partial 16S ribosomal RNA". It matches the Rfam family "Bacterial small subunit ribosomal RNA", at positions 338 to 795 of the family's 1533-position model. The record is from RNAcentral.
CCUACGGGGAGCAGCAGUGAGGAAUAUUGGUCAAUGGGCGAGAGCCUGAACCAGCCAAGUCGCGUGAGGGACGACGGUCCUCUGGAUUGUAAACCUCUUUUGUCGGGGAACAAAGGCGCCCACGGGUGGGCGGAUGAGUGUACCCGAAGAAAAAACCUCGGCUAAAUCGGUGCCAGCAACCGGGGUAAUACGGAGGAAGCGAGCGUUAUCGGGAUUUAUUGGGUUGAAAGGGUUGGUAGGCGGACAGUAAAGUUAGCGGGAAACAUGCGGUGCUCAACGCCGUACAGCCGUGGAAAGUGGCAGUCUUGAGUGGGGGAGAAGUAUGCGGAAUGCGUGGUGUAGCGGUGAAAUGCAUAGAUAUCACGCAGAACUCCGAUUGCGAAGGCAGCAUACCGGCGCCCGACUGACGCUGAGGCACGAAAGCGUGGGUAUCGAACAGGAUUAGAUACCCUUGUAGUC